GGUAACAUUUGUUAUUUACAUCAAUGUUACAGCUAAUCUAGAAGAACCACAGUGUAUGCCAAUCAUGCUAACUCUUGUAAACUUGUUUUACUUGUCUUUAAUGACAGACACAUUACAGGUUAUGCUCCGGAAGAUGGAGACAUUGGAGGAGAACCAGCGAGAGGCUCUCCUAUUCAGGCGACUACAGGGCAGACACACUGAAGAGGUGCCGGUGAUGGACCUACAGGUGGCCCAAACACAGGCUGAACUCCAAGACCUUGAGGAGCGCCUUAAGGUGCUGGAGUUGCGAAAGAGAGUGACGCUGUGAUGAAGUGGAAGACGGGACUGGGAGAGAAAGCUGUGGAGCUCCUCAUAGAGGAGACACUCAAACACACCCCGGCAGCCCAUUCAAAACAAGCCAGGGCCAACAGACAGGACCUGUAGCGGGGACUGGCAGAAGAUUUUAAUUCACA
This is a long non-coding RNA of Osmerus eperlanus (European smelt), 452 nucleotides long. RefSeq lists it as uncharacterized. The record is from RefSeq and is a predicted model, not a curated record. The transcript is spliced from 3 exons. Lineage: Eukaryota; Metazoa; Chordata; Actinopteri; Osmeriformes; Osmeridae.